Molecule: long non-coding RNA, 351 nt
Filed under: Homo sapiens (human)
Lineage: Eukaryota; Metazoa; Chordata; Mammalia; Primates; Hominidae
Description: HSALNT0031834
Source: RNAcentral
ACAUUCCACUAGAGGCCACAUGGGCUGCAGCAUUUAUCUACCAACUCCCGUCCCUGUGGUAAGUGUUGCCCAUACACACUGCCUGCAGGAGGGUGUGCUUCCUCAUACUGGAGAAAGCCCUCAGGCAGAGGGUAAGAAAGAUAGGGGUUUGAUAGAGGAUGCUGUUGGCAAACUAGAAACUGCUACUGCACCAUGCAGUAAACUCAUAUGGCUAAGGAGAUCUGCGGCAGACAUCAACAUUUGCUGACUGACGCCAGUGCAAUGCUAGAUGAUUCUGACAAAUGGAGCUUCUGUUACUUACUGGCUUGAUGGCUUCAUACCACAUAAAUCUCUUCCUUGACCUUUUUCUGG